AUGAUUUACAUUUGAGUGAGUGGCGAACUGGUGAGUAACACGUGGGAAACCUGCCCAGAAGCGGGGGAUAACACCUGGAAACAGAUGCUAAUACCGCAUAACAACUUGGACCGCAUGGUCCGAGUUUGAAAGAUGGCUUCGGCUAUCACUUCUGGAUGAUCCCGCGGCGUAUUAGUUAGUUGGUGAGGUAAAGGCCCACCAAGACGAUGAUACGUAGCCGACCUGAGAGGGUAAUCGGCCACACUGGGACUGAGACACGGCCCAGACUCC
Molecule: ribosomal RNA, 270 nt
Filed under: uncultured Lactobacillus sp.
Lineage: Bacteria; Bacillati; Bacillota; Bacilli; Lactobacillales; Lactobacillaceae
Description: partial 16S ribosomal RNA
Rfam family: Bacterial small subunit ribosomal RNA
Source: RNAcentral